CCUACGGGAGGCUGCAGUAGGGAAUAUUGCUCAAUGGGGGAAACCCUGAAGCAGCAACGCCGCGUGGAGGAUGAAGGUUUUCGGAUUGUAAACUCCUUUUGUUAGAGAAGAUAAUGACGGUAUCUAACGAAUAAGCACCGGCUAAAUCCGUGCCAGCAGCCGCGGUUAUACGGAGGGUGCAAGCGUUACUCGGAAUCACUGGGCGUAAAGAGCGCGUAGGCGGGAUAGCAAGUCAGAUGUGAAAUCCUAGGGCUUAAACAGAGAUCUGCAUUUGAAACUGUUAGUCUAGAGUAUGGGAGAGGUAGGUGGAAUUCGUGGUGUAGGGGUGAAAUCCGUAGAGAUCAAGAGGAAUACUCAUUGCGAAGGCGACCUGCUGGAGCAUAACUGACGCUGAGGCGCGAAGGCGUGGGGAGCAAACAGGAUUAGAUACCCCUGUAGUC
RNAcentral lists this ribosomal RNA (440 nucleotides) under uncultured bacterium. RNAcentral describes it as "partial 16S ribosomal RNA". It matches the Rfam family "Bacterial small subunit ribosomal RNA", at positions 338 to 795 of the family's 1533-position model. The record is from RNAcentral.